Molecule: long non-coding RNA, 428 nt
Organism: Triplophysa rosa
Lineage: Eukaryota; Metazoa; Chordata; Actinopteri; Cypriniformes; Nemacheilidae
Exons: 3
Source: RefSeq, a predicted model, not a curated record
GUCUUAAGGGCUGGAGCCGCAGCAUCUCUGGGCACAAGCAGCAGACACCCUGGAUAGAUGAACUUCUCAAAAUGAUCUUGUGCUCUUACGGCAGCUGAAACCAAGGCCUUCCUCAUGGCUGCAGAUAUGGAUGGAGAUGGGAAGAUCGGAUGGGAAGGUGCAAAUCUACAGUGUUUAGCACACUUUACCACAGCGCAAAAUUCUCCGAACUUCCUGAGAUGAGUGAGAAAUGAAAGUUCUUUCCUCUGGUCUUUUCUUUCGGCAGUGUAGUUUCCAAAACUGUAUUUUGAGGAUUGUGCUCUGUCUUGUCAUUGUUACUGUAAUGUUAUUGUAUGUGCUAGAAAAUAAAGAUGUUUAAACAGCUGUUGUGGCAUAUUUAAGUCAUUUUAAGGGGGAAUUCAUAAUUCCUUAAAAAUGUCAAUAGUUGU